UGCAGUCGAACGAGCUGCGGGACUUCGGUUCCGUGGUUAGUGGCGCACGGGUGCGUAACGCGUAUGCAACCUACCUUCCACAGGGGGAUAGCCCCGGGAAACCGGGAUUAAUACCGCAUGACAUAGUUUGAGGGCAUCCGAAGACUAUCAAAGAUUCAUCGGUGGGAGAUGGGCAUGCGUGCCAUUAGCUAGUUGGCGGGGUAAAGGCCCACCAAGGCGACGAUGGCUAGGGGUUCUGAGAGGAUGGUCCCCCACACUGGUACUGAGACACGGACCAGACUCCUACGGGAGGCAGCAGUAGGGAAUAUUGGGCAAUGGCCGAGAGGCUGACCCAGCCAUGCCGCGUGCAGGAAGAAGGCCUUCUGGGUUGUAAACUGCUUUUACCAGGGAAGAAAACGCUCCUGCGGGGGUAACUGACGGUACCUGGUGAAUAAGCACCGGCUAACUCCGUGCCAGCAGCCGCGGUAAUACGGAGGGUGCAAGCGUUGUCCGGAUUUAUUGGGUUUAAAGGGUGCGUAGGCGGCCCGUUAAGUCAGCGGUGAAAUCCCACGGCUCAACCGUGGAACUGCCGUUGAUACUGGCGGGCUUGAGUUCGGUCGAGGCGGGCGGAACUGGCGGUGUAGCGGUGAAAUGCAUAGAUACCGCCAAGAA
Molecule: ribosomal RNA, 651 nt
Filed under: uncultured bacterium
Lineage: Bacteria
Description: bacterial SSU rRNA
Rfam family: Bacterial small subunit ribosomal RNA
Source: RNAcentral